This 452-nucleotide ribosomal RNA is filed under the name uncultured bacterium. RNAcentral's name for it is "bacterial SSU rRNA". It matches the Rfam family "Bacterial small subunit ribosomal RNA", at positions 331 to 794 of the family's 1533-position model. The record is from RNAcentral.
CCAGACUCCUACGGGAGGCAGCAGUCGAGAAUCAUUCACAAUGGGGGAAACCCUGAUGGUGCGACGCCGCGUGGGGGAAUGAAGGUCUUCGGAUUGUAAACCCCUGUCAUGUGGGAGCAAAUUAAAAAGAUAGUACCACAAGAGGAAGAGACGGCUAACUCUGUGCCAGCAGCCGCGGUAAUACAGAGGUCUCAAGCGUUGUUCGGAAUCACUGGGCGUAAAGCGUGCGUAGGCUGUUUCGUAAGUCGUGUGUGAAAGGCGCGGGCUCAACCCGCGGUCGGCACCUGAUACUGCGAGACUAGAGUAGUGGAGGGGGAACCGGAGUUCUCGGUUUAGCAGUGAAAUGCGUAUAUAUCGAGACGAGCACUCGUGGCGCUCGCGGGUUCCUGGUCUUUCGCUGACGCUGAGGCACGGCGGCCAGGGGAGCGAAGGGGCUUAGAUACCCCGGUAAU